UACGUAGGGUACUAGCGUUGUCCGGAAUUAUUGGGCGUAAAGAGCUCGUAGGUGGCUGGUCGCGUCUGCUGUGGAAACACACCGCUUAACGGUGUGCGUGCAGUGGGUACGGGCUGGCUGGAGUGCAGUAGGGGAGUCUGGAAUUCCUGGUGUAGCGGUGAAAUGCGCAGAUAUCAGGAGGAACACCGGUGGCGAAGGCGGGACUCUGGGCUGUUACUGACGCUGAGGAGCGAAAGCAUGGGGAGCGAACAGG
Molecule: ribosomal RNA, 253 nt
Filed under: uncultured bacterium
Lineage: Bacteria
Description: partial 16S ribosomal RNA
Rfam family: Bacterial small subunit ribosomal RNA
Source: RNAcentral